This 292-nucleotide ribosomal RNA is filed under the name uncultured bacterium. Its description in RNAcentral is "partial 16S ribosomal RNA". It matches the Rfam family "Bacterial small subunit ribosomal RNA", at positions 73 to 354 of the family's 1533-position model. The record is from RNAcentral.
CGGCGCUUGCGCGUCCCGCCGGCGACCGGCGCACGGGUGAGUAACACGUAUGCAACCUGCCCCCGCCAGGGGUACAACCCUCCGAAAGGGGGGCUGAUACCGCGUACAUCCCCUGGGGGCAUCCCCGGGGGAGGAAAAGCCCCUUUUUGGGGCGGGCGGGGAUGGGCAUGCGGCGCAUUAGGAAGACGGCGGUGUGACGGACCACCGUUCCGACGAUGCGUAGGGGUUCUGAGAGGAAGGCCCCCCCACACUGGUACUGAGACACGGACCAGACUCCUACGGAAGGCAGCAG